UUCCCCUUCGGGGGACAAAGUGACAGGUGGUGCAUGGUUGUCGUCAGCUCGUGUCGUGAGAUGUUGGGUUAAGUCCCGCAACGAGCGCAACCCUUAAGCUUAGUUGCCAUCAUUAAGUUGGGCACUCUAAGUUGACUGCCGGUGACAAACCGGAGGAAGGUGGGGAUGACGUCAAAUCAUCAUGCCCCUUAUGAUUUGGGCUACACACGUGCUACAAUGGACAAUACAAAGGGCAGCGAAACCGCGAGGUCAAGCAAAUCCCAUAAAGUUGUUCUCAGUUCGGAUUGUAGUCUGCAACUCGACUACAUGAAGCUGGAAUCGCUAGUAAUCGUAGAUCAGCAUGCUACGGUGAAUACGUUCCCGGGUCUUGUACACACCGCCCGUCACACCACGAGAGUUUGUAACACCCGAAGCCGGUGGAGUAACCUUUUAGGAGCUAGCCGUCGAAGGUGGGACAAAUGAUUGGGGUGAAGUCGUAACAAGGUAGCCGUAUCGGAAGGUGCGGCUG
RNAcentral lists this ribosomal RNA (508 nucleotides) under Staphylococcus aureus. Its description in RNAcentral is "bacterial SSU rRNA". It matches the Rfam family "Bacterial small subunit ribosomal RNA", at positions 1013 to 1520 of the family's 1533-position model. Lineage: Bacteria; Bacillati; Bacillota; Bacilli; Caryophanales; Staphylococcaceae. The record is from RNAcentral.